RNAcentral lists this non-coding RNA (38 nucleotides) under Schistosoma mattheei. The record is from RNAcentral. Lineage: Eukaryota; Metazoa; Platyhelminthes; Trematoda; Strigeidida; Schistosomatidae.
AUCCAACUGACGAGUCCUAAACAGGACGAAGCAUGCAU